AGCAGUCGCCGCGGUAAUACAGAGGGUGCAAGCGUUAAUCGGAAUUACUGGGCGUAAAGCGCGCGUAGGUGGUUUGUUAAGUUGGAUGUGAAAUCCCCGGGCUCAACCUGGGAACUGCAUCCAAAACUGGCAAGCUAGAGUAUGGUAGAGGGUGGUGGAAUUUCCUGUGUAGCGGUGAAAUGCGUAGAUAUAGGAAGGAACACCAGUGGCGAAGGCGACCACCUGGACUGAUACUGACACUGAGGUGCGAAAGCGUGGGGAGCAAACAGGAUUAGAUACCCGUGUAGUCCCUGUCUCUUAUAC
Molecule: ribosomal RNA, 303 nt
Filed under: uncultured bacterium
Lineage: Bacteria
Description: partial 16S ribosomal RNA
Rfam family: Bacterial small subunit ribosomal RNA
Source: RNAcentral